Molecule: long non-coding RNA, 709 nt
Filed under: Cicer arietinum (chickpea)
Lineage: Eukaryota; Viridiplantae; Streptophyta; Magnoliopsida; Fabales; Fabaceae
Description: long non-coding RNA (CARI_LNC000695)
Source: RNAcentral
UUUUUUAUCACAUCACUCUUUGUAUUUCAUAUUGAAUCAGUGAAUAAGUGUACACCAAUCUUUUGCAUAAAAUAAACGUAAAAGAUUACAAAUAGUACAAGGAGUAUCCAAAUAUCAACGAUAAAUAGAAAAACAAAAAUAUCAACCCAAACAUCUAUGGGUACACCAAAAAAGCCAAACAUCUACCAGAAAGCGAACAAGAACUGACUCCGCAAAAGAGUAACACCAUCAAAGAAACCCACAAACCAAGCAUGGCUCGAUCCAGCUCAGACAACUCCACCAGUGUCUAUCAACCCAUGCACAAGACAGAAUCCACCCCACACAUAGUUGGAGGUCUUACCCAAGAAGUAAGAACCAUUUCCUUGCAAAAAAAUUAGUCUAUUCCACUAAUUACUUAUAUGUCGUUAUGGGCGUACAUGAGCGCGAGUCGAUCCACCAACCUGAUCACCCAACUGAAUCCAAUUUUUACCCAUACCCGAUCGUUUUUCGGGUCUGAUCCGACUCAACCCGUUGAAACCCGCUUAUUUUUGGUUCAGGUAAUUGGAUCAACGAUUUGAACUCGUCGACCCGGCCCAAUAACUAGUUAUAAUUUGUUUUUAAAAUUUUGUUUGCCAGUCCAAUAAGAUAUCAUUCUUCUUCUUCUUCUUCUUCUUCUUCUUCUUCUUCUUCUUCUUCUUCUUCUUCUUCUUCUUCUUCUUCUUCUUCUUCU